RNAcentral lists this unclassified non-coding RNA (205 nucleotides) under Hevea brasiliensis (rubber tree). Lineage: Eukaryota; Viridiplantae; Streptophyta; Magnoliopsida; Malpighiales; Euphorbiaceae. The record is from RNAcentral.
GAAUAGUCGAAGGUGGAAGGAGUGGAGGAGAUCAUCUUAUCACCAUGGGAGCUCUUUUCCUGCCCCUUCUUCCACACCUAAAGGGUAACCCCGCCCUCCGUUGCUGUAACAGGAGGAGGAUCCGCGCCGUCGACGGAGCAGCAACUGCCGAUCUAGCUCCUCAGCCCGAGAUCACCUGGCAAAUCGCCGUCGGCGCUUUAGCUGG